CCUACGGGAGGCAGCAGUGGGGAAUAUUGCGCAAUGGGCGAAAGCCUGACGCAGCGACGCCGCGUGAGGGAUGAAGGUCUUCGGAUCGUAAACCUCUGUCAGCAGGGAAGAACGGUCACUGUGCUAAUCAGCAGUGAAUUGACGGUAUCUGCAAAGGAAGCACCGGCUAACUCCGUGCCAGCAGCCGCGGUAAUACGGAGGGUGCGAGCGUUAAUCGGAAUUACUGGGCGUAAAGCGCUCGUAGGCGGUAUGUCAAGUCAAGGGUGAAAUCCCCGCGCUCAACGUGGGAACUGCCUUUGAAACUGGCAGACUGGAGUGUGUGAGAGGUUAGUGGAAUUCCAGGUGUAGGAGUGAAAUCCGUAGAUAUCUGGAGGAACAUCAGUGGCGAAGGCGACUAUCUGGCACAUAACUGACGCUGAGGAGCGAAAGCGUGGGUAGCAAACAGGAUUAGAUACCCGGGUAGUC
Molecule: ribosomal RNA, 465 nt
Filed under: uncultured bacterium
Lineage: Bacteria
Description: partial 16S ribosomal RNA
Rfam family: Bacterial small subunit ribosomal RNA
Source: RNAcentral